RNAcentral lists this ribosomal RNA (745 nucleotides) under uncultured bacterium. RNAcentral describes it as "bacterial SSU rRNA". It matches the Rfam family "Bacterial small subunit ribosomal RNA", at positions 33 to 773 of the family's 1533-position model. The record is from RNAcentral.
ACGCUGGCGGCAGGCCUAACACAUGCAAGUCGAGCGGAUGAAGGGAGCUUGCUCUCUGAUUCAGCGGCGGACGGGUGAGUAAUGCCUAGGAAUCUGCCUGGUAGUGGGGGACAACGUCUCGAAAGGGACGCUAAUACCGCAUACGUCCUACGGGAGAAAGCAGGGGACCUUCGGGCCUUGCGCUAUCAGAUGAGCCUAGGUCGGAUUAGCUAGUUGGUGAGGUAAUGGCUCACCAAGGCGACGAUCCGUAACUGGUCUGAGAGGAUGAUCAGUCACACUGGAACUGAGACACGGUCCAGACUCCUACGGGAGGCAGCAGUGGGGAAUAUUGGACAAUGGGCGAAAGCCUGAUCCAGCCAUGCCGCGUGUGUGAAGAAGGUCUUCGGAUUGUAAAGCACUUUAAGUUGGGAGGAAGGGCAGUAAGCGAAUACCUUGCUGUUUUGACGUUACCGACAGAAUAAGCACCGGCUAACUCUGUGCCGGCAGCCGCGGUAAUACAGAGGGUGCAAGCGUUAAUCGGAAUUACUGGGCGUAAAGCGCGCGUAGGUGGUUUGUUAAGUUGAAUGUGAAAUCCCCGGGCUCAACCUGGGAACUGCAUCCAAAACUGGCAAGCUAGAGUAGGGCAGAGGGUGGUGGAAUUUCCUGUGUAGCGGUGAAAUGCGUAGAUAUAGGAAGGAACACCAGUGGCGAAGGCGACCACCUGGGCUCAUACUGACACUGAGGUGCGAAAGCGUGGGGAGCAAAC